GUUGGUUUAUAACUUCCUCCGCAGGUUGUACCUAUUAUUGCACAAGAGUUUAUAUAUUUUAUAAUAUUUUGUUAAAUAAUAUUAACACAAUGAAUAUUCAUUGUGCAGUGAAGCGCUGUGUUACAUUUGGUCACUAUAGAUUAAUAGUUUCGGAUGCAUGUAAAAUUAAUUAUUCUACAUCAAAUAAACGGGCAACGGUGGAUGAUGGAGAGAUCGAAAGACUAAGCAGCUUAGUUUGGUGGGGUCCACAAAGCCCAUGCUAUCCCCUAAGAAGUUUUAACACGAUCAGAGUUCCGUUUAUUAUGGAUGGCCUUGGUGGGAAUUCAUCUGACAAGAAAACAAUAAAUCCAUUCGCUAAUAAGAAACUGCUAGAAGUUGGUAGUGGUGGUGGGAUUUUGGCAGAGGCAUUGGCUGCGAAAGGAGCUGAUAUAAUAGGAUUAGAACCAGGCCAGGAAUUAGUUGAUGUGGCGCAAAAUCACUGCGAUACAAACCCAGAUAUUGCUGAUAAUAAACCAAAAUAUGUCUGUACUACAAUCGAGGAACAUUCGGAGCAGUACUCUGGUUAUUACGAUGCCGUAGUUGCAUCUGAAGUAAUCGAACACGUUUUAAAUCAAGAGUUGUUUGUUGAAUGUUGCAUCAGAGCCCUUAAGCCAGGAGGCAGAAUAUUCUUCACAACUCAAAGUAAAACCUUCUUGGCUUGGUUCCAUCACAUAUUUGUUUUUGAAAGUGUUAUCAAAUUGGUGCCAAAGGGUACACACGAAUAUGACAAAUUUAUAACACCGAAAACAUUGACGGGAAUUCUAGAACGACAUAAUUGCCGUGUGGAACUUGUUCGUGGCAUGAUGUACUAUCCCUGGUCAGACAAAUGGAAGUGGAUCAGAUACAGUCAUGCAUAUUAUGCGCUUCAAGCAAUUAAACUUAAUAAUUAAGUAUAUUGUUAGUGCAUUGUGUACUGUAGAAUAAUUGUAAACUAAUAGGUGUUUGCUUUGGUGUAGAAAUAACGACAGACGAUAAGUUUCAGAUAUAUUUUUAUUCUCAAAUAAAAUGUUUCUAAAAUUG
Molecule: long non-coding RNA, 1059 nt
Organism: Leptidea sinapis
Lineage: Eukaryota; Metazoa; Arthropoda; Insecta; Lepidoptera; Pieridae
Exons: 6
Source: RefSeq, a predicted model, not a curated record